This 253-nucleotide ribosomal RNA is filed under the name uncultured bacterium. Its description in RNAcentral is "partial 16S ribosomal RNA". It matches the Rfam family "Bacterial small subunit ribosomal RNA", at positions 524 to 776 of the family's 1533-position model. The record is from RNAcentral.
UACGUAGGGGGCAAGCGUUGUCCGGAAUCAUUGGGCGUAAAGAGCGUGUAGGCGGCCCGAUAAGUCGGGUGUGAAAGCCCGGGGCUCAACCCCGGAAAUGCGCCCGAAACUGGCGAGCUUGAGUGCGGGAGAGGGAAGCGGAAUUCCUGGUGUAGAGGUGAAAUUCGUAGAUAUCAGGAGGAACACCGGUGGCGAAAGCGGCUUCCUGGCCCGACACUGACGCUCAUGUACGAAAGCGUGGGGAGCAAACAGG